AACGAACGCUGGCGGCAUGCCUAACACAUGCAAGUCGAACGGGAUCCUAGCUUGCUAGGUGAGAGUGGCGGACGGGUGAGUAACACGUGGGAAUCUGCCUUUUGGUUCGGGAUAACCGCGGGAAACUGCGGCUAAUACCGAAUGCCCUCGAGAGAGGAAAGAUUUAUCGCCAGAAGAGGAGCCCGCGUCCGAUUAGGUAGUUGGUGGGGUAAAGGCCUACCAAGCCGACGAUCGGUAGCUGGUCUGAGAGGAUGAUCAGCCACACUGGGACUGAGAUACGGCCCAGACUCCUACGGGAGGCAGCAGUGGGGAAUAUUGGACAAUGGGGGCAACCCUGAUCCAGCAAUGCCGCGUGGAGUGAUGAAGGCCUUAGGGUGUAAGCUCUUUGCCAGGAGAUGAU
This 400-nucleotide ribosomal RNA is filed under the name uncultured bacterium. Its description in RNAcentral is "bacterial SSU rRNA". It matches the Rfam family "Bacterial small subunit ribosomal RNA", at positions 29 to 449 of the family's 1533-position model. The record is from RNAcentral.